GUCGAGAAUCUUUCACAAUGGGGGCAACCCUGAUGGAGCGACGCCGCGUGGAGGAUAAGGUCUUCGGAUUGUAAACUCCUGUCAUGCGUGAACAAGGUUGCUUGGUUAAUACCUGGGCAAAUUGAUGGUAACGCAAGAGGAAGAGACGGCUAACUCUGUGCCAGCAGCCGCGGUAAUACAGAGGUCUCAAGCGUUGUUCGGAAUCACUGGGCGUAAAGGGUGCGUAGGUGGCGUGGUAAGUCAGAUGUGAAAGCCCGGGGCUCAACCUCGGAACUGCAUCCGAUACUGCCAUGCUAGAGUACUGGAGAGGUGACUAGAAUUCUAGGUGUAGCAGUGAAAUGCGUAGAUAUCGAGAGGAAUACCAAAGGCGUAGGCAGGUCACUGGACAGUUACUGACACUGAGGCACGAAGGCCAGGGGAGCGAACGGGAUUAGAAACCCGUGUAGUCC
Molecule: ribosomal RNA, 449 nt
Filed under: uncultured bacterium
Lineage: Bacteria
Description: partial 16S ribosomal RNA
Rfam family: Bacterial small subunit ribosomal RNA
Source: RNAcentral